This 221-nucleotide long non-coding RNA is filed under the name Gossypium barbadense (sea-island cotton). Its description in RNAcentral is "long non-coding RNA (GBAR_LNC009096)". The record is from RNAcentral. Lineage: Eukaryota; Viridiplantae; Streptophyta; Magnoliopsida; Malvales; Malvaceae.
UGUGGUCGUCUCCAAGUCCCUCUGCGGUACCAAUCCACCUAACGCUGGGAAUUACCUGCACAGCUAAUAAACGGGUUGAGUUUACGAAAACUCAGUGUGUAAUCCCCUUACUAGAGUAACUGUCAGUAAACAAACAGAAAUCAGAAUUAGUUUGGCUCGGAGCCCAUUACAGUAACUGUGACAGCCCUAAAUUGACCCUAGUCGGAAAGUGGUUUCGGGAC